Bos taurus (domestic cattle) is the source of this 1035-nucleotide long non-coding RNA. The record is from Ensembl. Lineage: Eukaryota; Metazoa; Chordata; Mammalia; Artiodactyla; Bovidae.
GUUGCUGGACCUUACUGCAGUGAGCUGACUUUCACUUUGGACUCUCAGCUCUUACAGUGGCUGAACAGUGGUUCCCCAAAAGACAUAUCCACAUCCUAAUCCCCAUAAUCUGUGAAUGUGACUUCAUUUGGAAAAAAAGAGUCUUUGCAAUUAAGGAUUUUAAGACCACCUUGGAUACUCUGGGUGGGCCCUAAACCCAGUAACAAGUGUCUAUAGGAGACACCCAGAAGAGAUAGAGAGGAGAAAGUUAGGCAAAGAUGGAGGCAGACUGGAGUGAUGCUGCCGCCACCCAAGGAAUGCCUAGAGCCACCAAAAUCUGGAAGAGGCAACGAAAGAAACGCUCCCUAGAGCCUCUGGAGGGAACAUGACCCUGGCACGUUUUCAGACUUGAUUGAUUUUGGACUUCUGACUUCCAGAACUGAGAGAGAAUAAAUUUCUUUGGUUUUAAGCUACCAAGAUUUUGUUAUAGCACCCUUAGGAGACUAAAGCACAAGUUGGAAUCAAGAUUUCUGGGAGAAAAUUAUCAGUAACCUCAGAUAUGCAGAUGACACCAGCCUAAAGGCAGAAAGUGAAGUGGAAUUAGAGAGCCUCCUAAUGAAGGUGAAACAGGAGUGAAAAAGCUGGCUUAAAACUCAACAUUCAAAAAACUAAGAUCAUGGCAUCUAGUUCCAUCACUUCAUGGCAAAUAGAUGGGGAAACAAUAGGAACAGUGACAGACUUUAUUUUCUUGGGUUCCAAAAUCACUGUGGAUGGUGACUGCAGUCAUGAAAUUAAAAGAUGCACGCUCCUUGGAAGGAAAGCAGGACAAACCUAGACAGUGUAUUAACAAGGAGAGACAUUACUUUGCCUACAAAGGCCGUAUAGUCAGAGCUAUGAUUUUUCCUGUAGCCGUGUAUGGAUGUGAGAGCUAGAAGGUUGAGCACUGAAGAUUGAAGGCAGAAGGAGAAGGGGACGACAGAGGAUGAGGUGGUUGGAUGGCAUCACUGACUCAAUGGACAUGAGUUUGAGCAAACUCCAGGAGAUGGUGGACAGGGA